CCUACGGGAUGCUGCAGUGGGGAAUAUUGCGCAAUGGGCGAAAGCCUGACGCAGCGACGCCGCGUGAAGGAAGAAGGCUUUCGGGUUGUAAACUUCUUUUAAGGGGGAAGAGCAGAAGACGGUACCCCUUGAAUAAGCCACGGCUAACUACGUGCCAGCAGCCGCGGUAAUACGUAGGUGGCAAGCGUUGUCCGGAUUUACUGGGUGUAAAGGGCGUGCAGCCGGAGAGACAAGUCAGAUGUGAAAUCCACGGGCUCAACCCGUGAACUGCAUUUGAAACUGUUUCCCUUGAGUGUCGGAGAGGUAAUCGGAAUUCCUUGUGUAGCGGUGAAAUGCGUAGAUAUAAGGAAGAACACCAGUGGCGAAGGCGGAUUACUGGACGAUAACUGACGGUGAGGCGCGAAAGCGUGGGGAGCAAACAGGAUUAGAUACCCUUGUAGUC
Molecule: ribosomal RNA, 442 nt
Filed under: uncultured bacterium
Lineage: Bacteria
Description: partial 16S ribosomal RNA
Rfam family: Bacterial small subunit ribosomal RNA
Source: RNAcentral